UGAAGCUAAGCGAAAACUUAUUGCCGCAAGUGCUUUGGGGGAACGGAUGUUGCAUGAGAUCGAAGCUGACCCGUCAAGACCUGUCAAACGGGUUUAUAAUGCUGUUCUGCAACAGGCAAGCGACAUAAACCCUGAUGAGGAGCCGGCAUUUGGCAGCUUGAGGUCUAAACUGACACGGAAAAGGGCAUCUCUCAACCCCCCCAUUUCUGCAACAAUUGAGGAGGUUGAAAUACCAGAAGAAUGGAAGAGGACAUGGAAUGACCGUAAUUUUUUGAGCCAUCAGGACAAUGAUUAGGAGAUAUUACUAUUUGCCACCGACUCGAACUUGCGCAAAUUGCAGCAAUCUCGUGACAUCUACAUCGAUGGCACUUUUAAGACGUGUCCCGCACCAUACAAACAGUUUGUCACUGUACAUGGUAUGUACAAUGGGAGAGUGCUACCUUUUGCGUUUGCAUUAAUGGAAGGCCGAACUGUUGGUGAUUACCGCCAGAUAUUACAGCAUUUGAAGGAGGAAGUCCGUCGGUUGACUGGCCAUUGCUUUAGGCCAAGGAAGGUCAUCACUGACUUUGAAGUGGCCUUCAUCACCGCCGUGGAAACAGAAUUGCCACGUAGCAAUACAUGUGGCUGUUAUUUCCACUUCUGUCAAAGUGCGAUCAUGGCGGAUGAUUCAGCAGCUUGGGCUGGUUGGACCCUACAGACGACAAUACCGCGUGCGGAAGUUGCUCCGCAAAUUUAUGGCAAUAGGGUAUUUGCCACUGGCCCUUGUGCGGAACAAUUUCCGUUUACUGUUAGAUAGAAAUUCUACCCAGCGCAUCAUUAACCGCUAUCCUGCUGUUCAGGAUUUUAUUCAGUAUCUCCAGAGGAACUAUCUGGAUGGACAGUUUCCGGCUCAGUUGUGGAAUGUUUUCGACAGGGAUAGUGACACGCGCACAAAUAAUCACGUCAAAGGUUUCCACCACAGAUGGAACAAUAGUUUGAGCCGACACCACCCUUCCAUGCGGGUUUUCUUGAGAAAGUUCAAGGAUGAACAGAGGCUUGUCGAGGUCUCCGCUGCAGCCGCCAGGAGAGGGGAAGCUCCUCCACGCAGGCGAAGAAAAUGGCGUGAUCUCGAACACCGCAUCCGGAGGCUGAAGCAUGAGUACAACACUGGAGCCAGGACAUUGAGCAGUAUUGGAACGCCAUUGUUUAUGUCAUAAAAACAUACAUAUAAGUUAUCUCUGGAAGUUUGGUUCCAUGUUGACAGUGGAGAUCUACCAUAGGGUCUAUACCAAAAUUAUUACCACUUGAACGGUUGGCUGGGUUGAUGCGUAGGCCAAUGGCCACUGACAGUGGGUGUAUGGCAAGUUUUUGCCCAAGAAACAACCUAUUAUUGUCUUUGUUUUCUUGAAAUACUAAACCAAUUGUUUUAUGUUUAUGAAAGUUUAUUCUUUUGACAGGUUAAGGUUUAGUGAACAUUUAACGUAAGGGACAUGCUACAUUUUAAUGGAACUUUUUUGAAAGUUCCUUUCUGUUUAGAACUCAAUUUACAGUAAUAUGUUUUUCGGUUUUGUUGUGAAAGAGGAGAUUAUGUAUGGCAUUAUUUUGAUAUAUUUUUAAUUGGCCAAUGGGUGUGGAGUUGGUGGGUGGCGUU
Long non-coding RNA from Priapulus caudatus, 1630 nucleotides. RefSeq lists it as uncharacterized. The transcript is spliced from 3 exons. The record is from RefSeq and is a predicted model, not a curated record. Lineage: Eukaryota; Metazoa; Priapulida; Priapulimorpha; Priapulimorphida; Priapulidae.